UGCGGAGGGAUCAUUACCGAGUUUACAACUCCCAAACCCAAUGUGAACGUUACCAAACUGUUGCCUCGGCGGGGUCACGCCCCGGGUGCGUCGCAGCCCCGGAACCAGGCGCCCGCCGGAGGAACCAACCAAACUCUUUCUGUAGUCCCCUCGCGGACGUAUUUCUUACAGCUCUGAGCAAAAAUUCAAAAUGAAUCAAAACUUUCAACAACGGAUCUCUUGGUUCUGGCAUCGAUGAAGAACGCAGCGAAAUGCGAUAAGUAAUGUGAAUUGCAGAAUUCAGUGAAUCAUCGAAUCUUUGAACGCACAUUGCGCCCGCCAGUAUUCUGGCGGGCAUGCCUGUCCGAGCGUCAUUUCAACCCUCGAACCCCUCCGGGGGAUCGGCGUUGGGGAUCGGGACCCCUCACACGGGUGCCGGCCCCUAAAUACAGUGGCGGUCUCGCCGCAGCCUCUCCUGCGCAGUAGUUUGCACAACUCGCACCGGGAGCGCGGCGCGCCCACGUCCGUAAAACACCCAACUUUCUGAAAUGUUGACCUCGGAUCAGGUAGGAAUACCCGCUGAACUUAAGCAUAUC
Molecule: ribosomal RNA, 575 nt
Filed under: Trichoderma asperellum
Lineage: Eukaryota; Fungi; Ascomycota; Sordariomycetes; Hypocreales; Hypocreaceae
Description: eukaryotic LSU rRNA
Rfam family: 5.8S ribosomal RNA (bases 200-353)
Source: RNAcentral